RNAcentral lists this ribosomal RNA (330 nucleotides) under uncultured eukaryote. Its description in RNAcentral is "partial 18S ribosomal RNA". It matches the Rfam family "Eukaryotic small subunit ribosomal RNA", at positions 1470 to 1796 of the family's 1831-position model. The record is from RNAcentral.
CCCUUAGAUGUUCUGGGCCGCACGCGCGCUACACUGAUGCAUUCAACGAGUCUAAAACCUGGUCUGAUAGGGCUGGGUAAUCUUUUGAAAGUGCAUCGUGAUUGGGAUAGAUGAUUGCAAUUCUUCAUCUUCAACGAGGAAUGCCUAGUAAACGCAAGUCAUCAGCUUGCAUUGAUUACGUCCCUGCCCUUUGUACACACCGCCCGUCGCUCCUACCGAUUGAAUGAUCCGAUGAAUACCAUGGAUUGAGAGUACGAAUGGGUUCGCUCAUUUCUGCUGCUCGAGAAGUGGAGUAAAUCUUAUCAUUGAGAGGAAGGAGAAGUCGUAACA